UAGCUCAGUCAGUAGAGAAUCUGCCUGCAAUGCAGGAAACCCAGGUUCAGUUCCUGG
Molecule: transfer RNA, 57 nt
Filed under: Bos taurus (domestic cattle)
Lineage: Eukaryota; Metazoa; Chordata; Mammalia; Artiodactyla; Bovidae
Rfam family: tRNA
About the family: Transfer RNA (tRNA) molecules are approximately 80 nucleotides in length.
Source: Rfam by way of RNAcentral